GGCCUACGGGAGGCUGCAGUGGGGAAUAUUGGACAAUGGGCGAAAGCCUGAUCCAGCAAUGCCGCGUGAGUGAUGAAGGCCUUAGGGUUGUAAAGCUCUUUUACCAGGGAUGAUAAUGACAGUACCUGGAGAAUAAGCUCCGGCUAACUCCGUGCCAGCAGCCGCGGUAAUACGGAGGGAGCUAGCGUUGUUCGGAAUUACUGGGCGUAAAGCGCGCGUAGGCGGCCUAGCAAGUCAGGGGUGAAAUCCCGGGGCUCAACCCCGGAACUGCCUUUGAAACUGCUAAGCUAGAAUCCUGGAGAGGCGAGUGGAAUUCCGAGUGUAGAGGUGAAAUUCGUAGAUAUUCGGAAGAACACCAGUGGCGAAGGCGACUCGCUGGACAGGUAUUGACGCUGAGGUGCGAAAGCGUGGGGAGCAAACAGGAUUAGAUACCCCUGUAGUCACU
This 445-nucleotide ribosomal RNA is filed under the name uncultured bacterium. RNAcentral describes it as "bacterial SSU rRNA". It matches the Rfam family "Bacterial small subunit ribosomal RNA", at positions 335 to 798 of the family's 1533-position model. The record is from RNAcentral.